UUGACCACAGUUACUCACAAACAGUACCUCUUACACUCUCGAUUGUUUUUAAUGGCAAACUUCCAGGAAUUACCUGCCAAGAGCUUAAAGCCAUUGAGAUGUCAAGAACGCGAAGGACUGAACGAUGUUAAAUACUGCAGGAAAAACUCAUUCUCACACUGAUAAGAACGAGCCCUCCCGCUCUCCCAUGGGCAAUGGUGAAAGUUUGGGGCCGAAGCGACCGCUGGUGUUUGAAGCCGCCGGGCCCUCGUCCCCAUCGCCGGGCUUCAAAGACGAUCCGGGCCACAGAUGCACCGUUAACCUGGAGAUUUAAACAAGAUAACGACGCGAAAGAGAGGCGGCGACGACUGAAAAUUCAUUAUUUGCGAAGAUCACUAGUUCCUGUUAAGAGCGGCUGAACGCGGGAGCCCAAAUGCGCGCCGGAGAGACGUGUCGCUGUUUGUCAUGCCGAGAGAGAUGCAUUGCGAUUUGCACAGGAUGUGUGAAGCCUCACCCCCCGUCCCGUUCCGUUCCGCCACUUCAGGGGCCCGGCCGCGUCCACGCACACCCAUCCUUGAUGUGGGGACGAGAAACAUCUUUUAUCACCAUUGUGCGGUGCGGCGCGCGCGGUCCAGAUGGAGGGAUAAAACAUGCAUGAGUCGCCCGCAGCUCUGAAAAUAAUUAUACUCAUUUACCAGAGACAGAGAGAGUGCAUCCAACCAAGUCACCACCCAUCACAGAGACGAGCUCCCAGCAUACUAAUGAAGACGCGAGACAAUGACUGACCACCGGAGAAAUGGCGAGCGCGCGAGAGAAUGCGCGCCCGUAACUUUUAAGAAGGGGUGAGGGAAAGUGAGUGAGAGAGAUAGACAGGUGUCCGGCUCGACUCGGGAGGAGUUUAACAGUGCCGUAGUUGUCCUUAAAAUGAUAUUUCACCCGGUAAUGAAAACCCUCAGAAAAUGCAUGCACCCGUUCAUGAAGACGAGUUUGUUUCUUCAUCAGAACAGAAUUGGAAAAAUGUAGCAUUGCAUCAAGUUCCACACCGAUCCGGUCCGUCUCAUGAAGUCAAAAUCUGUGUGCUUUUAAGAAACAAAUCGGUUUUUAGCUUUAAAUAAACUCCUAAUUUAGAUGUGACAUGCCAUUAAAACAAUAUUAUGGAUGGUUUGUCCAUAAAAUGUA
Long non-coding RNA from Puntigrus tetrazona (Sumatra barb), 1158 nucleotides. RefSeq lists it as uncharacterized. The transcript is spliced from 4 exons. Lineage: Eukaryota; Metazoa; Chordata; Actinopteri; Cypriniformes; Cyprinidae. The record is from RefSeq and is a predicted model, not a curated record.